This 254-nucleotide ribosomal RNA is filed under the name uncultured bacterium. RNAcentral describes it as "partial 16S ribosomal RNA". It matches the Rfam family "Bacterial small subunit ribosomal RNA", at positions 524 to 776 of the family's 1533-position model. The record is from RNAcentral.
GACGAACCGUGCGAACGUUAUUCGGAAUCACUGGGCUUAAAGCGCGUGUAGGCGGAUGGGAACGUCAGUCGUUGAAAUCCCCCGGCUCAACCGGGGAAUGGGCGCCGAAACGACCCGUCUGGAGGGACGUAGGGGGACCUGGAACUUCCGGUGGAGCGGUGAAAUGCGUUGAGAUCGGAAGGAACGCCCGUGGCGAAAGCGAGGUCCUGGACGUCUACUGACGCUGAGACGCGAAAGCUAGGGGAGCGAACGGG